Long non-coding RNA from Phyllostomus hastatus (greater spear-nosed bat), 332 nucleotides. RefSeq lists it as uncharacterized. The transcript is spliced from 3 exons. The record is from RefSeq and is a predicted model, not a curated record. NCBI's taxonomy places the organism in Eukaryota, Metazoa, Chordata, Mammalia, Chiroptera, Phyllostomidae.
AGCUGGUUCGCGGAGGGCUAGCUUAGCGUUCUGGGAUGCGGGAUGCGCAGUCUUUGCGGGACGAGCAGUGCAGACGGGGGAGCAACGACUGGAGGGAAUCUGUGCUUUCCAUCGGGGGCAGGGCAUAUAAAGAAGCAAGCAGUGAACGCAUCAGUUUUUUAUCCAAGAGAAAUGGGAAAUAUGCUCAUCAUCGUGUUACAUAAACCAACCACACAUUAUAUACCAGCUGGGAUUUAGAGUGCUGCUUUCUUUGAAGUGGAACAACAUCUUGAAUACACCUGUAAAACAAUAGAGAGGAAAAGGGAGGAAGAAAGAGACGGAGAUAAAUAUUG